This 981-nucleotide ribosomal RNA is filed under the name Salmonella enterica subsp. enterica serovar Enteritidis. RNAcentral's name for it is "partial 23S ribosomal RNA". It matches the Rfam family "Bacterial large subunit ribosomal RNA", at positions 582 to 1566 of the family's 2925-position model. Lineage: Bacteria; Pseudomonadati; Pseudomonadota; Gammaproteobacteria; Enterobacterales; Enterobacteriaceae. The record is from RNAcentral.
CCCUUUGGGUGUGACUGCGUACCUUUUGUAUAAUGGGUCAGCGACUUAUAUUCUGUAGCAAGGUUAACCGAAUAGGGGAGCCGGAGGGAAACCGAGUCUUAAUUGGGCGUUAAGUUGCAGGGUAUAGACCCGAAACCCGGUGAUCUAGCCAUGGGCAGGUUGAAGGUUGGGUAACACUAACUGGAGGACCGAACCGACUAAUGUUGAAAAAUUAGCGGAUGACCUGUGGCUGGGGGUGAAAGGCCAAUCAAACCGGGAGAUAGCUGGUUCUCCCCGAAAGCUAUUUAGGUAGCGCCUCGUGAAUUCAUCUCCGGGGGUAGAGCACUGUUUCGGCUAGGGGGCCAUCCCGGCUUACCAACCCGAUGCAAACUGCGAAUACCGGAGAAUGUUAUCACGGGAGACACACGGCGGGUGCUAACGUCCGUCGUGAAGAGGGAAACAACCCAGACCGCCAGCUAAGGUCCCAAAGUCAUGGUUAAGUGGGAAACGAUGUGGGAAGGCCCAGACAGCCAGGAUGUUGGCUUAGAAGCAGCCAUCAUUUAAAGAAAGCGUAAUAGCUCACUGGUCGAGUCGGCCUGCGCGGAAGAUGUAACGGGGCUAAACCAUGCACCGAAGCUGCGGCAGCGACACUGUGUGUUGUUGGGUAGGGGAGCGUUCUGUAAGCCUGCGAAGGUGGCCUGUGAGGGUUGCUGGAGGUAUCAGAAGUGCGAAUGCUGACAUAAGUAACGAUAAAGCGGGUGAAAAGCCCGCUCGCCGGAAGACCAAGGGUUCCUGUCCAACGUUAAUCGGGGCAGGGUGAGUCGACCCCUAAGGCGAGGCCGAAAGGCGUAGUCGAUGGGAAACGGGUUAAUAUUCCCGUACUUGGUGUUACUGCGAAGGGGGGACGGAGAAGGCUAUGUUGGCCGGGCGACGGUUGUCCCGGUUUAAGCGUGUAGGUGUGUGUUCCAGGUAAAUCCGGUUCACUUUAACACUGAGGCGUGA